UGAUUUACCACAUGGUAAUCCUCUUCUCUC
This 30-nucleotide non-coding RNA is filed under the name Mus musculus (house mouse). RNAcentral also lists the same sequence under 1 other name. Lineage: Eukaryota; Metazoa; Chordata; Mammalia; Rodentia; Muridae. The record is from RNAcentral.